AGGUGGGAGGAUUGCUUGAGGUCAGGAGUUAGAGGUUACAGCAAGCUAUGAUCAUACCACUGCACUCCAGCCUGAGUGACAAAGCAAGACUCUGUCU
This 97-nucleotide microRNA precursor is filed under the name Carlito syrichta (Philippine tarsier). Its description in RNAcentral is "miRNA (ENSTSYG00000026141.1)". Lineage: Eukaryota; Metazoa; Chordata; Mammalia; Primates; Tarsiidae. The record is from RNAcentral.